UCUCUUUAUUAGGCAUAGGAUUAACAAUCACACUAGACGAUGCCAGGAACUAUAGAUGCAACACAUACUGUAAAACAAUGAUGAAAUGUUUUGAUGGAACUUGUGAUAGUUCAAAGAAAAAGUGUCUCUGCCGAUACUGUUCAUCGAGGAAUACAGUCCUGAACUAAAGACUUCAUUUAAUUCGUGUUAUUUUUGUCUGACUGUCUGUAGCUGCCAAAUUUUUCUAAAAAAAUAAAAUUGUAAAUUAA
Long non-coding RNA from Amphimedon queenslandica, 248 nucleotides. RefSeq lists it as uncharacterized. The record is from RefSeq and is a predicted model, not a curated record. The transcript is spliced from 3 exons. Lineage: Eukaryota; Metazoa; Porifera; Demospongiae; Haplosclerida; Niphatidae.